UGCAGACCACAGCCCAGCCUUUGCCGCAGAGUGGAGCAGGCGUGGUUGCUCCUGUAGCAAUGAGAGGAGGAGGUACAUUCCUACGCAUGCUCACAAGGCACCGCCCCCCCGUUGAAGCAUUUGAACAGCUGAUGAGUAUCCUCCCCCCCCCUCCCCGGCCUGUGCGAGUAGAUCAAAGGCGUAGGCUAUUUUCAAGCUGUUUGCCCCACCCCCGCUCCAGCUUUCACCAUAACCUGGAGGCGUUCGCCAGGGGCGAGCUUUUUAAGGUUAGACGCGGCGCUGUCUGCGGAGGGAGAUGAAUGAGGCAGGCACAGCAGCCUGGAUUGUGCCUUGCUUUCCCUCGGGCUCAGGGGCUGAGAGCUGCCCAGUCUCCGCUCGUGGGACGGGGGGGACUCUCCCAGUUGGGAUUUAUUUUUAAGAGCUGCUUUUUUUUUUUUUUUUUUUUUUUUAAAAAAAAAGAGCAUCUUGCUCUUGCAAUGACCGCUUUCCUAGUAUGUGGUUUACAAACCUCCCUUAUGACGAGCUUUGGGUUUGCAGCACGUCUAAAAUACCCCAGAUUCAAACAAGCCCCUUAUAGUAGCUGUAACUGCUCCACUUGACUAAUGCUAGUAAUGCUUUACAGAUUUAUGGUACCUUCCCUGGGAGGAUCUCAAAGCACUUUACAAACAUUCAUGAAUUAAGCUUCACAGUCCUCCCUGGGAAGUGGGUGUACAUUUCACUGGGGCCACAGGAACCCACAGAAGGUUUCCUCUUCCUUACCAGAUGAAUCUGAUUCACAAGGGAGGACUUAUUUACCUACUCAAAGCCAUUGAUGCCAAUGGAGCUCCACCAGCACAUCUCAGAUGCAGGCCUGAGGUCUAACGUCGUGCCAGGGGUGUUUAAAUUCAAGCUUUUCCUGCCUUACCAUGUUCUUAAAAUACAGUCAUUUUCUAACAUCAAAAAACUUGUGUUACCGGGGUGGAAACUUACAAACCAUAGAACAGUAUGCAGACUCACUGUGCCUAAUGUAGUUGGUUUAGAGUAUUUGGCUAACAAAUUACAUUUUUUUUUUUGAUAGCUUAAACAAGGGUCACUCCCAACUUUAAAGGGGAAGCUGCUGUAUUUUUUUUUCUAGAUUGCAGUAGAUUUGACCCCAAACCUGACUUACUAUAACUUGCAAAAAGAAAAAGAACUAUCUUCUGCAUAUUAAAUAUCUAUUUUUUUUUUUGUUUUAAACUAUCUCUAUAAAUAUCCUUAGGUACUAGUCUGCAUCCCAAGUAGUGCUGUGCACAAAAAGAAAUGUAAUGGUAAAGAAUAUAAUUUUCCUUUUAAAAUCUCCCACUGGUUUGUGCUCUUGUUUUGCCUUUGCAGUGGUUAAUUUACAAAUGCAGUUGUCAGCAUUGUGCCACAUGAAAUAAAUAUGCAACCUUCAGGGACUACAAGUGUAGGGUCCUCUAAACAUACCAACACAGAUGCCAGUUCAGCAUCGAACUUGAGCACAAGGUUAACUUUAAAUCGGUGAAUAAUCCCAUUGACUUCAAUGGGACUGCUCUCAAACUUAAGUGCCCUGUUGACUCGGGAUCAUAUAUAUAGGUAAAAAGCACAGUAUUGCUGUAUCCAGAGUGUAAGUGUUUGCUGGUAUAGUAUAACACUUAUACACAAGUAUACCUAGACGAGCAAAGCCCUGCUAGUGUAGACAUGACCCAUAACAGUACAUAGAGCAGUACUUCGUGGCUUCCAGCUUCUGAUCAAGUCUUGGUGCUGUAUGUAUUUUGUGUUAAAGGUGACUUGCAAAAUAUUUUUUAAUUGGAUUUACCCCCGCCUUCCCUUCUUGAUGUUUAGAGAAUGUCUAGCAUGUUUUGUUUUUAAAGGUUUUGUUUUCCUACUUGCUUUUUUUUAACCUUUUGAAAUAUUUUAUGUCAACUUUUGUUUUCCAUGAUGGAUGGAUGGUGUGAGCUCUCGAAGUUUAUUUGAAAUAGGGAAAAUAGGAAAUAUUUGACAAAAGCUUCCUUUCUUCAAAUAGUUAAUUAGUGGGGGCGGGGGGUUGUUUUUGUUUUUUAAUAAAGCAUUUAAGAGUUUUAAACAGUCAUGCUAAGGCCUUGUCUUCAUUGCCGGGGUGGGGUAGGUGAGUGGGUGUAUUCUGUUUCUAGCCUUUAAUGGUCAGCCAACCUUGGUGGGGUUAACCACUGCUUAAAACCAGAGUAAGCUCCUUAGCAGUGUACCCCUGGUGGUAUGCAGAGUUCUUCCACGGGGUACAUCAACUCACCUAGAUAUUUGCCUAGUUUUACAGCAGGCUACAUAAAAAGCACUAGCAUAGUCAGUACAAACUAAAAUAACAUACAAUUACUUGUUUAUACUGCUCUAUA
Molecule: long non-coding RNA, 2345 nt
Organism: Dermochelys coriacea (leatherback sea turtle)
Lineage: Eukaryota; Metazoa; Chordata; Testudines; Dermochelyidae
Exons: 3
Source: RefSeq, a predicted model, not a curated record